This 72-nucleotide transfer RNA is filed under the name Methanobacteriota archaeon. RNAcentral's name for it is "Euryarchaeota archaeon tRNA-His". It matches the Rfam family "tRNA". From Rfam's summary of the family: Transfer RNA (tRNA) molecules are approximately 80 nucleotides in length. RNAcentral also lists the same sequence under 2 other names. The record is from RNAcentral. Lineage: Archaea; Methanobacteriati; Methanobacteriota.
GCUGCGGUGGUCUAGAGGUUAUGACGGUGGGUUGUGGUCCCGCCAACCCGGGUUCAAUUCCCGGCCGCGGCC